This 59-nucleotide transfer RNA is filed under the name Heteropoda venatoria (giant crab spider). RNAcentral's name for it is "tRNA-Tyr". The record is from RNAcentral. Lineage: Eukaryota; Metazoa; Arthropoda; Arachnida; Araneae; Sparassidae.
AUUAAAGAAAUCAUAAGAUGGUGAACUGUAAAUUCACUUAAGAUUUAACACUUUUAACC